AUUCUAUUAUGAUUUCACAUAAUUGUUUCUUGUGAAAUAAAUAUAUUAGUUUCAUUUUAGAGUUGAUACGUAUGACUCGUAUUUGUACUCUUUGAAUUAGGUUAUCAUGUUUAGUAUUAUUUAUUUUGAUAAUUGUAGAGCGGUACAUGUUACUACCUUCCUUUUGAAACCUUGUGACUAUAAUUUGAUUCGGUUCAACAUGUACAUAUAGAACCCUUUUGUUGGUAUUAUGUUGCAUGUGUUGUGACAUGAUAUUUUUGUUAGAAUAUAUCGUAGAGUAUACCUGAGUUAUAACCACCUGUGGGGGUACCACAUGCACGUCGUCUUGG
Molecule: long non-coding RNA, 329 nt
Filed under: Panax ginseng (ginseng)
Lineage: Eukaryota; Viridiplantae; Streptophyta; Magnoliopsida; Apiales; Araliaceae
Description: long non-coding RNA (PGIN_LNC006461)
Source: RNAcentral